UCCCUGGUGGUCCAGUGGCUAAGACUCCACGUUCUCAGUGCAGGGGUCCAGGUUCAAUUCCUGGUCAGGGAA
This 72-nucleotide transfer RNA is filed under the name Capra hircus (goat). It matches the Rfam family "tRNA". From Rfam's summary of the family: Transfer RNA (tRNA) molecules are approximately 80 nucleotides in length. Their secondary structure includes four short double-helical elements and three loops (D, anti-codon, and T loops). RNAcentral also lists the same sequence under 1 other name. The record is from Rfam by way of RNAcentral. Lineage: Eukaryota; Metazoa; Chordata; Mammalia; Artiodactyla; Bovidae.